GGUACAUUUCUAGCUUGCUAGAAGAUGACGAGUGGCGGACGGGUGAUUAAUGUUUGGGAACUUGCCUUUGCGAGGGGGAUAACAGUUGGAAACGACUGCUAAUACCGCAUAAUGUCUUCGGACCAAACGGGGCUUAGGCUCCGGCGCAAAGAGAGGCCCAUGUGAGAUUAGCUAGUUGGUGAGGUAAAGGCUCACCAAGGCAACGAUCUCUAGCUGUGCUGAGAGGAAGAUCAGCCACACUGGGACUGAGACACGGCCCAGACUCCUACGGGAGGCAGCAGUGGGGAAUAUUGCACAAUGGGCGAAAGCCUGAUGCAGCCAUGCCGCGUGUGUGAAGAAGGCCUUCGGGUUGUAAAGCACUUUCAGUUGUGAGGAAAAGUUGGUAGUUAAUACCUGCUAGCCGUGACGUUAACAACAGAAGAAGCACCGGCUAACUCCGUGCCAGCAGCCGCGGUAAUACGGAGGGUGCGAGCGUUAAUCGGAAUUACUGGGCGUAAAGCGCACGCAGGCGGUUUGUUAAGCUAGAUGUGAAAGCCCCGAGCUCAACUUGGGAUGGUCAUUUAGAAAUGGCAGACUAGAGUCUUGGAGAGGGGAGUGGAAUUCCAGGUGUAGCGGUGAAAUGCGUAUAUAUCUGGAGGAACAUCAGUGGCGAAGGCGACUCCCUGCCCAAAGACUGACGCUCAUGUGCGAAAGUGUGGGUAGCGAACAGGAUUAGAUACCCUGGUAGUCCACACCGUAAACGCUGUCUACUAUCUGUUUGUGGCUUUAAGCCGUGAGUAGCGAAGCUAACGCGAUAAGUAGACCGCCUGGGGAGUACGGCCGCAAGGUUAAAACUCAAAUGAAUUGACGGGGGCCCGCACAAGCGGUGGAGCAUGUGGUUUAAUUCGAUGCAACGCGAAGAACCUUACCUACACUUGACAUGCAGAGAAGUUACUAGAGAUAGUUUCGUGCCUUCGGGAACUCUGACACAGGUGCUGCAUGGCUGUCGUCAGCUCGUGUCGUGAGAUGUUGGGUUAAGUUCCGCAACGAGCGCAACCCGUGUCUUUAGUUGCCAGCAUUAAGUUGGGCACUCUAAGGAGACUGCCGGUGCCAAACCGGAGGAAGGUGGGGAAGACGUCAAGUCAUCAUGGCCCUUACGUCUAGGGCUACACACGUGCUACAAUUGCAUUUACAGAGGGAAGCGAGACAGUGAUGUGGAGCGGACCCCUUAAAGAAUGUCGUAGUCCGGAUUGGAGUCUGCAACUCGACCCCAUGAAGUCGGAAUCGCUA
RNAcentral lists this ribosomal RNA (1269 nucleotides) under bacterium RFB C01. Its description in RNAcentral is "bacterial SSU rRNA". It matches the Rfam family "Bacterial small subunit ribosomal RNA", at positions 68 to 1337 of the family's 1533-position model. The record is from RNAcentral.